This 82-nucleotide transfer RNA is filed under the name Salmonella enterica. RNAcentral describes it as "tRNA-Val". The record is from RNAcentral. Lineage: Bacteria; Pseudomonadati; Pseudomonadota; Gammaproteobacteria; Enterobacterales; Enterobacteriaceae.
UAACUGCGCGGCGUGGCUGCGCAGCGCUUCACGAGCGCGGGUACGUUCAGCUUCCGCCUGUUCCAGACGCUGGCGCAGUUUU